UUCCCGGGCCUUGUACACACCGCCCGUCACACCACGAAAGUUGGCAAUACCCGAAGCCGGUGGCCUAACCCGCAAGGGAGGGAGCCGUCGAAGGUAGGGUCGAUGAUUGGGGUG
RNAcentral lists this ribosomal RNA (114 nucleotides) under uncultured bacterium. RNAcentral's name for it is "partial 16S ribosomal RNA". It matches the Rfam family "Bacterial small subunit ribosomal RNA", at positions 1371 to 1482 of the family's 1533-position model. The record is from RNAcentral.